This is a long non-coding RNA of Equus caballus (horse), 2754 nucleotides long. RefSeq lists it as uncharacterized. Lineage: Eukaryota; Metazoa; Chordata; Mammalia; Perissodactyla; Equidae. The record is from RefSeq and is a predicted model, not a curated record.
UUCUCUUUUAACUCAUUGAGUUUCUUUAUGAUAGCUAUUUUGAAUUCUCAGUCAUUUAGGUUGCAAAUUUAUGUGACAACAGGAUUGAUUUCUGGAGACCUGUAAUUUUCCUUUUGAUCUGAAGUGUUAAUGUAUUUCUUCUUGGUGUCUAAUGAAGUGGACUUUUGCUCAUGCAUGGUGGUAGUAUCUGGUCACAGAUUCCACCUGCCACCAUUGUGGGAGUCAGGAGCUGUUUUCUGAACAUACUGUGUUCACUGGCACUUGUGCCCUUCAACUGGAAGUUGUGCCAAUAGGGCUUAUCUGCAUCUGCCCACUGGCCACCAAUGCCUGGUGGAUCACACACAGAUCCACUGCGCCGGCCAACUGGCUGAGCUGGUGUACUAGGUGGGAGGAAAAGGAGAUUUCUUUCAUGUGUGUGCCCACUCUGUACUCACUAGUAGACUGCCUGAGCUGCUGGGCUUGGUGGGAUUACCCAUGUGGUGGCUGAGGUGCCUCGGUGUGGAGUAUUCUCAUGGGCUGGGAUGCAACUCCAAAAGCAAAAGCAUUCACGCCGAGGCCUGCCUGUUCCCCUGCAUCCUCUUAGAGUCAUGCAUCAAUCACUGCAUGAAGUCCUGCACUCUAGGUCGCUGCCACAGGGGAGAGGAAGGAGAACUGCUGACCUCCUUCCACUGCUUCCCAGGGAUCCAGUACCACCACUUUCAGAUGUAAGGCUGUGUGGACCUCUCAGACUUCCUAUUGUGCUAUAUGGAUAUCCUCUGUUGGUUCAUGAAUGUCCUAUUGGUUGUAUCUUAGAGGGGAGAGACUAAGGGAACAGCUCACUCCACUAUGAUGCUGACAUCACUUGACAUGAUUGUAAUCAUAAGUAAGGAUGUUUGGAAUGGUGAUUUGGGAAGAAAGAACACAUAGAUGAUAACAAAUUAAGUGAGUAGCUGAGGUAAAGUAGGUUAUUGGAGCUCAAGAAAUGGGGAGGUCAAGGAACAGAGAGUCCAGAUUAUGGAAAGGUAGUCUGCUAGAAUAAUGAUAAUAAUUCUAACAUGAUGAUAAAGUUCCAACAUGAUGAUAGAACUUGAAGCAUAAAGGAAGGCUGUGUAUUCAAAUGUCUAAUUUUUAAUAAAUGAGGGAGAGUGAUUAGAAUGUCAGUAGUUGACAGUUACAAGGAUGAAGGAAAAGUGAUACAGGCAAAUGGCAUGAGCCUUUUAAAAAGUACAUAAGACUUUUUACAGAAGCCAGUUGGAAUAAUGAUUUUGAGUAAAGGAGAGUGUCAACAAUGAUAUUUGGAUUUUGAAAGAAUAAACAGUCACCACUUGAAAGUGAUAAACCUUUUUUGAAGAACCAGGUUUCAGUAAUAGCAAAGAUGUGGAAGGAAUGCUUGGAGAAGAGUUUGGAAAUAGAGGCAAGUAUGCUGCGUUUAGAGGGGAAGGGGAAGAGGAUGGGAAUGAUGGUGCGGUGGAGUAUUACGGCAAAUGGCAAGUUGGGAGUGGGCAAGUAGUACUGAGUGGGAAGAGUUACAGGGAGCUGUCACUUUGGAUGUUGACUGUGAUGAAUGCAAAGUUAAGAAUUAUUGCAGAUUUAAUCUCAGUGUUUUUGAGGAGUUUGGAUUCUGGGUUCAAUGAUCAGGGGACAUGGCUCACUCAGCCUGAGUGAGUAGCUAUUGCACUUGCUAUAAGUUUUGAUAGCUGCACCUAUAUGGCUUGGAGUUAGGAAGGGGCACGGGUAGUGACGCCAGCAACUAAUGACAUCAAGGCUAGGGUGAGAGCAUAACCUAUACUGAGUAAUGAACUUUAUACACUCAGCCUUACAUUCCAGGGAUAAAUCCAACUUGGUUGUAUCUUAUCUUUUACAUAUACUGUUGGAGUCAAUUUACUAGUAUUUUAUUUAAAAUUUUUGCACCCAUACGAAUAAGUGACAUUAGCCUGUAGUCUUCCUUUCUCAUUUACUUUCCUUGUCUAGUUUUGGUAUCAAGAUUACCCUAGUUUAAUAAAAUGAAUUCAUGAUUAUUCUCUCUGUUUCUGUUGUCCGGAAAAGCCUAUAUAAAAUGAUCUGUUUCUUGUUAGUUUGAUAGAAUUAACUUGUAAGUACAUCUGGACUUUGUUUUUUUUUUUUUAAUUUUUAUUUUUUAUUGCAUUAAAAUUGGGUAGUAACAUUAUAUAGCUUUCAGAUGUAAGGACCUUGGUUUGUUGAAGGUAAUAUUUUAUAACUACUUUUCUGGUUUCUUUGCUUGUUACAGGAUUCUUCAAACUUUCUAUUUUUCUUAAGUCAAUUCUGAUGUUCUAAGAAGACUUUCAGUUGCAUGGCCUGAGAGCCUUGGGAUUCCGUCACCCACCCACCAUCCUUUAUGGAUCAUUUUUGUGUCAAUGUGAAGUCUGAGAGUCAUGGAGCCCAGUUAGAAAAUGAGUCAGUGGUCCAGGUGAAUGAUGAUGGAUAAAUAAACUUCCAUCACCAUGGAACUCAGGAGACAGAAGGUAUAUAUUUUGUAUGUAGAGGUAGGUGGUUCUUGGCUAGGGGUAAUUUUACUUUCCAGAGGACACUUGGCAAUGUCUGGCAAUAGUUUUAGUUGUCUAACUGGGGUAUAGGUGCUACUGACAUCUAGAGGGUAGAGACGAAGGAUACUGCUAAACGUCUUACAAUGUAUACAACAACUCCCUACAAGAAAGAAUUAUCUCACCCAAAAUGUUAAUGGUGGCAUCUUUGAACAGCUAAGUAUAUGAUCAUAAGUAUAUUCUGCAAUAAAUUCAGUUAUAAAACUCCUAAAAA